Molecule: ribosomal RNA, 301 nt
Filed under: uncultured bacterium
Lineage: Bacteria
Description: partial 16S ribosomal RNA
Rfam family: Bacterial small subunit ribosomal RNA
Source: RNAcentral
CAGUAGCCGCGGGAAUACGAAGGGUGCAAGCGUUACUCGGAAUUACUGGGCGUAAAGCGUGCGUAGGUGGUGGUUUAAGUCCGUCGUGAAAGCCCUGGGCUCAACCUGGGAAUUGCGAUGGAUACUGGGCGACUAGAGUGCGGUAGAGGAUAGUGGAAUUUCCGGUGUAGCAGUGAAAUGCGUAGAGAUCGGAAGGAACAUCUGUGGCGAAGGCGACUAUCUGGGCCAACACUGACACUGAGACACGAAAGCGUGGGGAGCAAACAGGAUUAGAUACCCCGGUAGUCCCUGUCUCUUAUAC